Olea europaea var. sylvestris is the source of this 684-nucleotide long non-coding RNA. RefSeq lists it as uncharacterized. The record is from RefSeq and is a predicted model, not a curated record. The transcript has 2 exons. NCBI's taxonomy places the organism in Eukaryota, Viridiplantae, Streptophyta, Magnoliopsida, Lamiales, Oleaceae.
CCUAUAUAUUGAGAUGACACCUAAUUAUUUUCGAUUGCAGUAUGGUCUUUCAUUCUAUUAGGAAAUUCCCCUUAUUACGGAGAAUAUUUUGAUAGGGAAGGUCAGCAAUAUUCAUUCAAUUACAUUACAAUUUUUUUUUUUUUUAAUAUUCAUUCAAUUACAUUCCUUUUUUUUUAAUUUUUUUUUUAAGUCCAUAGUGUCACUAAUAUAUUUUUAGGAAAUUUACAAAAUACACCCUUCGGAUAGAGUGUAUUUAUGCUUUACAUACCACAUUUUACAUCAUUGUAAACUUUUGCUAUAAAAUUUACAAAUUUACCAUUAAAACUAGACCAAAAUACCAAUAUUCAAAAACUAUAAAAUUUACAAAUUUCUCUAUAAUUUAUUGAAAAAUUAAAAAAAUUCUUUCAUGUCAAAGGAGGGAAUACUGAAGGAAGCGAACAAGUAUCUACAAGAUAAGAUGGAUGAGCAAUAUGGGAUUGAUAGCAUGGCACAAAUGCUUAGUAACACUGAAUACCCACUAAUGACUAACAAUCAGUUCCCUCUAACCAUACAAAAUGAAAUAUAUCAGUUCUAAUAUUUGCUCUAUUAAUUUAUGAGUGUAUGAGUGUUGUAAUAAAAGAAUAUUUGGGUGUCAUAUAUAUUGAGAUGUUGAGAGUGUUGGAAUAAUUUCAAGUAUGGGCUUCA